Molecule: ribosomal RNA, 253 nt
Filed under: uncultured Aquicella sp.
Lineage: Bacteria; Pseudomonadati; Pseudomonadota; Gammaproteobacteria; Legionellales; Coxiellaceae
Description: partial 16S ribosomal RNA
Rfam family: Bacterial small subunit ribosomal RNA
Source: RNAcentral
UACAGAGGGUGCGAGCGUUAAUCGGAUUUACUGGGCGUAAAGGGUGCGUAGGCGGUUAUACAAGUGGGAUGUGAAAGCCCCGGGCUUAACCUGGGAAGUGCAUACCAUACUGUAUAGCUGGAGUAUAUGAGAGGGUGGUGGAAUUUCCGGUGUAGCGGUGAAAUGCGUAGAGAUCGGAAGGAACGUCAAUGGCGAAGGCAGCCACCUGGCAUAAUACUGACGCUGAAGCACGAAAGCGUGGGGAGCAAACAGG